CCUGAUGCAGCCAUGCCGCGUGUGUGAAGAAGGCCUUCGGGUUGUAAAGCACUUUCAGUAGGGAGGAAGGUAGUGUAGUUAACACCUGCAUUAUUUGACGUUACCUACAGAAGAAGCACCGGCUAACUCCGUGCCAGCAGCCGCGGUAAUACGGAGGGUGCGAGCGUUAAUCGGAAUUACUGGGCGUAAAGCGCAUGCAGGCGGCCUGUUAAGUCAGAUGUGAAAGCCCGGGGCUUAACCUCGGAAUUGCAUUUGAAACUGGCAGGCUAGAGUCUUGUAGAGGGGGGUAGGAAUUUCAGGUGUAGCGGUGAAAUGCGUAGAGAUCUGAAGGAAUACCAGUGGCGAAGGCGGCCCCCUGGACAAAGACUGACGCUCAGAUGCGAAAGCGUGGGGAGCAAACAGGAUUAGAUACCCUGGUAG
Molecule: ribosomal RNA, 420 nt
Filed under: uncultured bacterium
Lineage: Bacteria
Description: bacterial SSU rRNA
Rfam family: Bacterial small subunit ribosomal RNA
Source: RNAcentral